UAUUUGUCUCGCUCUUAUUGAAAACAGCUGCAGUUCGUAAGAAAAUUGGAUUAAGUGUAGACAAUCCAACAAAAUUAAAAAUAAAUAAAAAUCAAAUACUUGUUACAAAUGACAAAUGUAUACGAUAAUACGAGACCAUAUUGGUCCGAUGAAGUGAUUACUUUCGUUAUCACAACAAUUCGCAAUACACCCUAUAUGUGGGACAAGACGCACAAAGAUUAUAGCAUCCGUUAUUUGAAACACAACUUCUGGAAAAACCUGAGAUGGACGCUGGAAAAAAGAUAUAAGUUUCGUGCCUACACAAACGAGUUGGCUCGGAAAUGGCUAAAUCUAGCUUCGUACUACCGUCUGCAGCAAAAGGCCAUUUUCGAUGCAAAUGCGCGAGGAGCACAGCCUGAGGAAAUAAAGCGCCUGGAAGGGUGGAAGUUCUUCCAGCAGCUAAAAUUUCUGCCUUUCGUGGUUUACGAUAAGAACAGUGUGGAUGCGGAAAAUCUAUAUGAUAGCGCCAACACAGAGGACUCGGAUAAUGUCAGUUCUGGCGUGGUUGAGGAAAGUCAAAUUAAUGUCGAUUCUAGAAGUCCUACACAGUCAACCAACGAUCACAUUUCACAAUGCUGCAGUUCCAAAGAAAAUACGCCAAAGCAAGUUGGAAUUGAGGAGCUAAAUGUGCCAAUGGAGGAUAAUGAUGCCGAAGUUGAAGAGACAACACCUAUAACCAUUGAGCCCGUAAUAGAUGAUGUACAAAGCACGCCAAGUUUUCAUUAUGGCAUGGCAGUUGCACAAGAUGUUUUUGAACUGGACGAAAAUUUAAAAAUCGACGCAAAAAUGGAAAUUAUGCAAGUAAUUGCUAAAUACCAAAAAAAGCAGCUACAUCGUACAGUUAUGAGUCUAGCCGGCAACUAAGCUAAAUAUUCAAGUAUUUAAAGUAACAGUGUAAAAAUUACUUGUAUUUUAAAUUUGUAAGCUUAAACAUAAAAACAUCACCCAACCAA
This is an RNA transcript of Drosophila mojavensis, 992 nucleotides long. RefSeq lists it as uncharacterized. Lineage: Eukaryota; Metazoa; Arthropoda; Insecta; Diptera; Drosophilidae. The transcript is spliced from 3 exons. The record is from RefSeq and is a predicted model, not a curated record.